RNAcentral lists this ribosomal RNA (97 nucleotides) under Bacteroidales bacterium. RNAcentral describes it as "partial 23S ribosomal RNA". It matches the Rfam family "Bacterial large subunit ribosomal RNA", at positions 2827 to 2925 of the family's 2925-position model. Lineage: Bacteria; Pseudomonadati; Bacteroidota; Bacteroidia; Bacteroidales. The record is from RNAcentral.
AUAUAGGGUCGUGGGAGACUACCACGUUGAUAGGCCGCAGAUGUAAAGGCAGUAAUGUCAAAGUCGAGCGGUACUAAUAGCCCGACACUUCAGUUGU